GACGAACGCUGGCGGCGUGCUUAACACAUGCAAGUCGAACGAUGAAGCGGGUGCUUGCACUCGUGGAUUAGUGGCGAACGGGCGAGUAACACGUGAGUAACCUGUCCUUUUCUUUGGGAUAACGGCUGGAAACGGCUGCUAAUACUGGAUAUUCAGGCUGCAUCGCAUGGUGUGGUUUGGAAAGGUUUUUUCUGGGAUUGGGUGGGCUCGCGGCCUAUCAGCUUGUUGGUGGGGUGAUGGCUUACCAAGGCUUUGACGGGUAGCCGGCCUGAGAGGGUGGUCGGUCGCACUGGGACUGAGAUACGGCCCAGACUCCUACGGGAGGCAGCAGUGGGGAAUAUUGCACAAUGGACGAAAGUUUGAUGCAGCGACGCCGCGUGGAGGGUGGAGGCCUUCGGGUUGUGAACUCCUUUGUCUCGCGAAAAAGGCACAGUUUUGGCUGUGUUGAUGGUAGUGGGGGAAGAAGCGCCGGCUAACUACGUG
This 483-nucleotide ribosomal RNA is filed under the name uncultured bacterium. Its description in RNAcentral is "partial 16S ribosomal RNA". It matches the Rfam family "Bacterial small subunit ribosomal RNA", at positions 28 to 507 of the family's 1533-position model. The record is from RNAcentral.